RNAcentral lists this long non-coding RNA (211 nucleotides) under Elaeis guineensis (African oil palm). RNAcentral's name for it is "long non-coding RNA (EGUI_LNC051562)". The record is from RNAcentral. Lineage: Eukaryota; Viridiplantae; Streptophyta; Magnoliopsida; Arecales; Arecaceae.
CAGGUAGACUUCAUUCAGACUCCUAUGGGAGCCAGACUUCGUCCCCGACUCCGACUGCGGGUAGACUUCAUUCGGACUCCUACGGAAGCCGGACUUCAUCCCCGACUCCGACUGCAGGUAGACUUCAUCCGGACUCCUACGGGAGCCGAACUUCAGCAGCCAGACCCCUCCAGCGGAUGAACCUCUUUAGUGCCAUCCGACACCCACUGAC